This 778-nucleotide long non-coding RNA is filed under the name Sarcophilus harrisii (Tasmanian devil). Its description in RNAcentral is "lncRNA (ENSSHAG00000028351.1)". The record is from RNAcentral. Lineage: Eukaryota; Metazoa; Chordata; Mammalia; Dasyuromorphia; Dasyuridae.
CAUCCGCCGUGGGGAGGGCAACCUCCCGACCCCUCGGACCCACACGUACCACUGCAGCGCCGGUCGGCACCUAAGACUUAUUGUCUUGGAGAGCCCAGCCUUACCGAAACCCUGAGCCUACCUGGGGCCAGAAAGAGAAACCCCCAUUAAGAUUACAGUUAUGAGGCAGCAGGUGUACUAUAAGAUAGGAGUAUAUCUUGUUAAUUGAAAAACUAAAAGGUGAAUGAUAAAAAGAAAAAAGAAGGGAAUUCUUUUCAGAGGACACUCAGAGGGCAAAGUUCCUACUGCCUCUAGGAGGAGAGUCCCGGGAAAAGCAGAACAAGAUCUGCAAGAAAAAAACUGGAGCCGGGAUGGGCCAUAUGAGACCAGCUGAGCAACAGAACACUUUGGCUCCUCUUUUGGAGAAGAAGGAGAGAAUCUGAGAACAAAACGUAAAAGACAAGAGAAAUAGAGGAUCCAAGAUUUCUUUUUUAAGAUGGCAGAGACCAGAGCAUGUUUGUAGGGAAAAAACUCUUUCCUUAGUGCCCAGGGAAAGAGGCACUAGAUUGGGAAAGAUUGAAAUUGAGAGGAAAAGAAUGAUAAGUUGCAUAGCACAAUGGGGAACUAGACUUGGAGUCAGAAAGACCUGACUUCAACUUCUCCCUCAGAUAUUCACUAACUGUGUAACUCUGGGCAACUCUCUCAACCCCUCUGGGCCUCAGUUUCCUUAUUUGUUAAAUGAGAGGGUUUAAUAAAUAAAAGACUUGGUGGUCUCUAAAGUUUUUGAGCUCUAAAUGCA